GCCUUCGCGGGUGCGCUCACCCACGCCGGCCAGAACCGAGUAACCGCCGUAAGCCUUGGCGAUGUUGUUGAUCAGUUCCUGCAUCGUCACGGUCUUGCCGACGCCGGCGCCGCCGAACAGGCCGAUCUUGCCGCCCUUGGUGUAGGGGCACAUCAGGUCGAUGACCUUGAUGCCCGUGACCAGCACUUCAGCGGUGUUGGUCUGCUCGGCGAAGGACGGGGCGUCACGGUGGAUCGUGCGGCUGAUGUCCGAACGGAUCGGGCCCUGUUCGUCGAU
This 276-nucleotide small RNA is filed under the name Caulobacter vibrioides NA1000. Its description in RNAcentral is "small non-coding RNA". Lineage: Bacteria; Pseudomonadati; Pseudomonadota; Alphaproteobacteria; Caulobacterales; Caulobacteraceae. The record is from RNAcentral.